GAUGAACGCUGGCGGCGUGCUUAACACAUGCAAGUCGAACGGAAAGGCUCCUGCUUGCAGGGGUACUCGAGUGGCGAACGGGUGAGUAACACGUGGGUGCUCUGCCCUGCACUUCGGGAUACGCCUGGGAAACUGGGUCUAAUCCCGGUUAGGACGAUGGUUUGGAUGCCAUUGUGGACAGUUUUUCGGUGUGGGAUGAGCUCGCGGCCUAUCAGCUUGUUGGUGGGGUAAUGGCCUACCAAGGCGUCGACGGGUAGCCGGCCUGAGAGGGUGUACGGCCACAUUGGGACUGGGGUACGGGCAGGACUCCAAUGGGGGGCAGCAGUGGAGAAUAUUGCAAGAUAGGCGCAAGCCUGAAACAGCGACGCCGCGUGGGGGAUGACGGCCUUCGGGUUGGAAACUCUUUUCGCUAGGGACGAAGCGCGAGUGACGGUACCUGAAGAAGAAGCACCGGCUAACUACGUG
Molecule: ribosomal RNA, 465 nt
Filed under: uncultured bacterium
Lineage: Bacteria
Description: partial 16S ribosomal RNA
Rfam family: Bacterial small subunit ribosomal RNA
Source: RNAcentral